Molecule: long non-coding RNA, 594 nt
Filed under: Mytilus galloprovincialis (Mediterranean mussel)
Lineage: Eukaryota; Metazoa; Mollusca; Bivalvia; Mytilida; Mytilidae
Source: RNAcentral
AGGGUUCACACUUGAGAUUUCAUACAGUUUCGCAAAUGAAAAAUGUAAAAUAAACUUCUUUUGCAUAUCCCAUCCAGAGACAUAUAAGCUACAUAGUAUAAGAUUAACUCUUGUGCGUAGGAAAUACUUUGUUUUUAACUAUGAUAUUCUUUUCAUUUUGUUCUUUUUUUGAUCGAUUUGGUGGUUUUACAUCUUACAAAGUUUAUCCAAAUUAAUUUUUGCAAAAAAUUCCGCUAAAGCCGGUGCUAAGGUCCGUGUUAAGCCUACAUUUUUUUGUACAGUGAGGUGAGAGUUUUUUGUUCCGUGUUGAAGGCCUCACUGUGACUUCAUAAUGAAGAACAGCAAUAAAAACGUUGUUCCUUUGCUUUUUGUGUUUAUUUUGUUGUGCAUAUACUGAAUUUUUGACAUGGAUAGAUACCCCAUAUUCAAUGUUUUUCUAUUAUAGUAGUAUAUAUGUCUCUGUUCCAUCUUAUCACAAUAAUAAAAAUAGCAUACGCUGAAAAAAUACAUACCUAGAAGAGAUAUAAUAACUAGCAAAAGUCUUGAUAAAAAUGUGAACAAAAACAUGUUUAGAAUAUUCACGAUGGUCAGCAA